GAUUAACGCUGGCGGCGUGCCUAACACAUGCAAGUCGAGCGGCAGCGAGUUUUACACUGAAUUCUGGAAGCUUCUAGUUGAAAGAGAAGAUUUAUUCAAGAAUUUUGUGUAAAAUGUCGGCGAGCGGCGGACGGCUGAGUAACGCGUGGGAACGUACCCCAAAGUGAGGGAUAACGCAUCGAAAGGUGUGCUAAUACCGCAUAUGGUCUUCGGAUUAAAGCCUUCGGGCGCUUUGGGAACGGCCUGCGUAAGAUUAGAUAGUUGGUGGGGUAAUGGCCUACCAAGUCGACGAUCUUUAGCUGGUUUGAGAGGAUGAUCAGUCAGACUGGAACUGAGACACGGUCCAGACUCCUACGGGAGGCAGCAGUGAGGAAUCUUCCACAAUGGGCGAAAGCCUGAUGGAGCAACGCCGCGUGCAGGAUGAAGGCCUUCGGGUUGUAAACUGCUUUUAUAAGUGAGGAUUAUGACAGUAACUUAUGAAUAAGGAUCGGCUAGCUACGUG
This 502-nucleotide ribosomal RNA is filed under the name uncultured bacterium. RNAcentral's name for it is "partial 16S ribosomal RNA". It matches the Rfam family "Bacterial small subunit ribosomal RNA", at positions 28 to 507 of the family's 1533-position model. The record is from RNAcentral.